AUGCAGGAUAGUUCCAGAGUCAUAUGCUUACCACUGCUCUACACAGAGGGAAGAAUAACAUCUUCGAAAAGCCUGGGCAAAGGCAGAGAGGUGGGCUUGAAUGUGACCUGUCUGGAUCAGCCCGACAUCACUGGAGAUUCAUGGUGGGGAAAAGGGAGACAGCCUGGGGGUGGAUCGAUUACUGAAGGGCUUUGGAUACCAAUUCACAUAAGUUGGAUUUGAUAAAGGAGGAAAGCUAGUGAAAGUCAAUGGAAGUGUAAGGAAGUAGGGGUACUCAAAGACGCCUCACCGGCAGGUUCCUCCCACUCCUGGGUCGGCUGGGGCUGGGGCCGGAGCGUGGGAUGCAACUGUUGAACUCCUUGCAUUUUUGGGUGGCCUCCACCCUCCAGGCUUUAUCCUUUAGUCCACUUUAUCCACUUUAGUCCGCUUUAUCCUCUAGUCCACUAGGCAGGAAAAGGAACACAGAGUACUAGAAUUCCCAACUUUGCCUGUCAGCUAAGCUGGAUGGUCUGGAGUAGAGAGGUAAGAACUGUAGAAUGCACUUGUGCAUUCAUAAAGGAAAUAUUUGAUUGCUUAUAAUUUACCCAGUGUUGUAGUAGGAGCCAAACACAAAGCAGUGAACUAAGUAGACACUGUCUUCCAAAACCAGUCUCAUUGGAUCCCUCAGAGGUACAGGUUACCCCUGCUAUCUGAAAAUUCACUUUACAGCACUUCACUUUUACAAAAGACCUUUUGCUAACCAAAAGAAAUCCGAAGAAAAUUUUCACUUCUAUGAAAAAAAGGCAAAAAGUGAAAAUAGUGUUCAGUGUUUCUUUUACAGCGAGCCAUUACAGUGGCUAAGCAGUCAAACAUAUGGUCGCAACUCAAGCCUGAAAGAUCAGGCACAGCGGACUACUAACCUUGCCCUUCGACUGGAGGCAAGCAGAUGUAGAAGGUGCAGAUGUUGGUGACCUGCCUGGACUGAUGGAUUCAGACAGUGACGGGAUGUUAACAGAUAACCCUCUUCCUCUCUCCUACACCCUGGUCUCCUGUACCUCCCACCACUUCAACCUCUGACGGCUCAGCCUAACACACCACCAUCACCACCACCACCUCUCAGCCUUCCAGUGUGCUCACACUCUUCCCGAUUCUGGAUUCCUAACCACUUACCACAGACUGGAUCAGAUAUGCUCACAACCCAGAGAAGCAGGGCAAAGCCUACACAUUGUCAUCCUCGUCACACACCUCUUGUGGAUUCUCAGCCUAAGCUGGUGGAUGCAUGGUCACAGCCAAAACAAGAGCUGGGCCCGUCAAGCCUACUUAGCUCACUUUCCUUUCCUCUUGCCACCUCUUCUAUGCCUCUCCUGUGAGGGGACCGGCUUACCAGUCAUUUUAGGAACUGCCCAGGACUUCUGGGAUCCUGGACUCGAGUGUACCCAUAUCAUCGCUCACUUUCUCACAUGUGAAUGCUCGCUUUUACCAUUAUCAAUUCCAGACUCCGUGCAGUCCUGCUGCUCAUCCUUGGCUUGACUUCAGGGUAGAGACAAAGAGAAGGACUGAGCGUUCUUUACCUGCGGAGAACACAGGACUCUAGCAACUACCCUCACAGUUCCCUGUGGUAGGGCAGUUAGCCUGAAAGAUUUUGAACUUGGUGCCGCCCUGCUCUGGCAUCUGGAGGAAGCUGUGCUCCCGAAGCUGCUCAGGCAUUCCCCAUACACUUGGACAUUCUAGUGGCACCUCGGGAGUCUUGCAUAAAUUUUGGAUUUACUGAGAAUGGGAAGUAAAGUCUGGGUUUCCUGGCAGCCACACCACAUACCUGCUAUAAUGGGUUAAGUGACUUGCAUAGUGACUAAAGUUAAGGAGUUGGAUUUUGAACGUGGGUCAAGUCAAUUCCAAAGCCUUUAAUUCCUUCAGUCUGUCGUUCUCAACACUCUUUCUGACUAACGAUUUCUGUGAAACCUUGGAAUACAGACCUUAUACUGCAUGUGACUACCAUCAGGGUAGUCUCAUGGCAGGGGCCGCAGGUCCUGCGUCUUCAGGAGGACCCAGGUACAGCUUAGGCUUCAUGUCACACUCAUAACUAGCAACUAUCUCAAAGGCAUGCUGUUGUACCUGGCACUAGAUUAAAACCUAGUUAUUACAUAAUAUAGAUUAGACAUGCCCCCUAAGAAGCUUUUACGGCCUAAAGAUAGAAAAGGCAAAAAGAGACCCAUUACAAAGAAAGAAAGGAGACUCGUCAGAGAUCUCAUUUGUUAUAGAGGAUGGUCACACAGUCCGCCUUACCAUCGAGGCGUUAUCCAUCAGAGGCCAUCAGUGAUGAGCCAUCAAAGCACUGUCCUUUGGAAUCUCCAGUUGGAUUUUUGUUACAAAUCAAGACUUCACACCCAGAUACAGGACACAGUGGGAGUAAGCUGGCAUGUCAGAUGUAGAAUUAGUGUACUCUCUGCUGCUCCUGGGUUUGGCCAAGCACAUAGUGGGGCCUCAUCCAUUCAUCCAGACUCUCCCUUCCCCUCUCAGUUUGGCUAUUUAGGCUGUGCCAGAUAACUGGCCAUGGAUCAUUCCAUCUGUAUUUUCAUUUUCCUCAAUGGUCAAGCCACCUGACAUGUCUAAAUGGGAUCUUCUCUCUGGAGAUUUUCACCUCUCUGGUAGUAUCUUCUGAUUCAGGAUCACCCUGUCCAGGCUGGAUUAGCUCACACAUACUCAUUCAGAAAACUUCCUUAUCAGUCUAAGAUCAGGCUCUCUUCCUUUGGUGGCAGUAGGUCACCAUGAAUGCCCCAAAUAUAGACCAGCUUCAUACAUGACCCUUGUAAGAGCUACCAUGGAAUGAGCCUUUCUGAAGGGAGGACCAGAGGAAUACAUAGCCUACCUUUGGAAGUGAGCUGUCUCAGCCUGACAUCGGCAUCCCAGUUCUGGUCAUGACAGAACUAUAAGGUCAUGUCCACGAUGUCAUGGGCACUGACAAACUCUCAACCCUGGAUUCUUCAUGCCUCUUCCUUUUCUAGCCUGAGACUCUCUAUCUCACCAUUUUCUUUAAAUAGCAGGGUUCCUCUUUAAGGGCUCAUGGCAUGAGUGGUCUGAGCAGGUGUUCUGGCUUUUCUCUUGGGAAAGCCCCAGAAGAUAAGCUUCAAGGGCUCCAAUAAAGCUUGGCAACUCUCCACAUAACCUCAGGGUUGCUGGCUUUUCUGGGAGCACACAUACCAUCACCAGGAAAUAAAAUCCCACCACUGACACCCUACCUCCCCUACUCCACCCCAGAUCAUCCUAUGGGCCAAGGGAAGAAAGGUACAGGAAUAGAGAUUCCCAGGAAGCCAGACCUAACAACUGGAAUGAGGAGGGUGGUAUGUGCUGCUGGGCAGAGUAGAAGAGAGUCAGGAUCCCACUGCCACACCUGACAGUGGCAGAGAGCACGGC
This is a long non-coding RNA of Equus asinus (donkey), 3390 nucleotides long. The record is from Ensembl. NCBI's taxonomy places the organism in Eukaryota, Metazoa, Chordata, Mammalia, Perissodactyla, Equidae.